AUGUUGACAGUUGCCUUAACGGUGAGUGUCUUGUCAUUUCUCUAAUGUAUAGGUUCGCUAGAUUAUACACAGCUUAGCUCACAACAAUCUCACCGCUCAUUUCUCAUCUCUCAAAUUUGGCACGGAAAAGCUUUUCGAUACAAUGAAAAUUAUGAUUACCACUACUGCUUUUUGAAAUUCGAAAAGAGAAGUCGAUUUUCGUUGGCAUCCUGUGUAUACACACAAUUACUAUACACAAAUUACUGUGAUUUUUUAUAACAAUGACAACGAUAAUCGAUGACAUAUUUGCUUAUUGCCACUAUUUAUCCUAUUUAUAGAUAUCCAAAGAGACUAAUUAUCAGCGGUUAGGAACAGUAACCAUGGUGCAAUAAAUAAUAAUACCAUUAUUCUAUUUCAUAACAAAUACAGCAAAUGUGUUACGUGAAAUGGCGUACAAUUCGCAGUUUUAUUGAUUGAACUUUUCAGCACACUUGUGCUAAUCAACAAAACCAGUGAAGCAGUUAUAAUUUUUUUCAUUCGUCGCACACAACUAGACGAUGUUUUCAUUACUCAUUAGUAAUCACCGCAUCUAGUCGAAUGAUUUUAGCAAUGUUCUCAAAGCUUUUAUUUAGGAUUUAAAAUCAGUAAUACAAACUCUCAGGGCAAUAGAUGUCAUUUUGUGAUAUUGGAUGUUUUUUUGUUGAAUAGCGUAAUUUUUGAGUAACUAUUUAAAAUGCUCUGUGAAAAAGGGUUAGAUCUAAGACAAGACGUGACAGCUGGUCACCGUUACAUUCAACCAAUUUGAACCGGCUGCUGAUUGGCUGAAUUCGAUAACGCAAUCGUCACGUAGAAAAUACAACGAGGUUACUUUUCACUGUAAAGCAGUGAUGCUGGAGAGUCAUAAUUUAGCUAUUAUAAUUGUUCAUAAAUAAUGAUGCAAAAGUAUGCAAGGUAUAUGAUAUUACCGAGUAAUGUAUUUCACUGUUAUAACUUUAAAAAUGCAUUGAUUAAUCGUUUAUUACUAUUUCGGUUGCAGUCCAAGAAACUUAGAAAGAAAAAAUUUGGGUACCAAGAAACUUAGGAAGAAAAAAUUUGAUAAUAGAAGUAUGCUUUAUUGAACAUAAAAUAAUAAAUAAGAAUUGAGUA
Wyeomyia smithii (pitcher-plant mosquito) is the source of this 1125-nucleotide long non-coding RNA. RefSeq lists it as uncharacterized. The record is from RefSeq and is a predicted model, not a curated record. Lineage: Eukaryota; Metazoa; Arthropoda; Insecta; Diptera; Culicidae. The transcript has 2 exons.